CCCUCUUCUGCUUGACUUCGAAAUUCCCUAAGUGCAGAAGCGAGGAUGCUGUGCUAGGUAGUGGGUUGCCGUGCGCUAUAUUUAGAAAGCAUCUGGAAGAGAAAAUGUCCUCAGGAAUCCGGACUGUUUUGUUGUAAACACCCCUCCAGUUCCAGCGCUGUAAACGUGAACGCUCCUUCUCCAGACGUGACAGCGCUCGGCGCUGCCUGGAAGCGCAGGGUGAAUGCUGUUGGCAGGCACACCAGCAUGGAUGAAGCAAAUCCGGCUUCAGAGAAACAGCCCCUAACUGCUUGUGUGAGCCUGAGGCUUCUAAUGUGAGGAAAAACACGCGGUGACAAGUGUGGAAAAGAGCAAGCACUAAAUUACUGUCAGAAAAAUAAACGGCGGAGCGCUGUGCUGCGCAGUGAUUUACGGGGGCAAUUAGCCACAGCCCCAAGGAGCCGCCGCGGCACCCCCCGGUGCUGGCCCGGCUCCUGCACCCAGCCCGGGCACCCGGGGCUCGUCUGCCCCUCCCGAGGCUCUUGUUUUGCCUACCCCAGGAAUGGGGAUGUGGAGAAGGGAACUGCCUCAAAAGCCAGAGGCUGGGUUUGCGGGGAAGGUGUGAGCGCUGCGGAUCUGCUUAUUCAUUGUGCCCAGGUGUGGGGUGAUUGAAAAGGUGGAGAACUACAGUUAAAGAAAAAGUAUUCCUGGAGAAGGGAAGCUGGAAAGCGGGGUGGGAAAGCUGCUGGGGCUGGAUGAGGUGGCUCUGCAGCUGCUGCAUGUCUUCUGGAGAUACUGUGGGCCAUUAGGCAUCUGGGCAGCCCAGGAGAAGGGCCAGCUCUGCUGCUAGCUGGGGGUGGACAUUAAACAAGCUUAAUGCUGUUGUUUCACCAGGAGAGAUGUUUUAAUCUGAAGCUAGCAACAAAGUAUAGACAGUCCAAGCUCCAGUUCAACCUGGACCAUGACAGUGAGCUCCCAGACAGCACAUUGCAGGGCUCCCUAGGGAGCAGCUGGAAGGAUCACCAAACCCUGGUAUACAGAAUCACAGACUGGUUCGGGCUGGAAAGGACCUUAAAGCUCAUCCAGUUCCAACCCACUGCCAUGGGCAGGGAUACCUUCCACUAGAGCAGGUUGCUCCAAGCCCCACCUAACCUGGCCUUGAACACUGCCAGGGAUAGGGCAGCUACAGCUUCUCUGGCAGUAGCUCCAGCCACUACCAUGAGGUCUGCAGGCUCAGGCUCCUAAGCACAAAAAUUCAGGAGCUCCUCUGUCAAGAACUCGUACAAAUACUAAAUGGGGCCUAUUUUGUGCAGAUGAUUUAACAAAGACUGCAUGGGUGAGGGAGCAGAUUUGUCUCAGACCUCUUCCUUUUUCAGAAGAAAAAGUUCAGAAGCUUAGACUGGACCUUGUGGCUUGAAAGGGUGCCUAGGCCUGAGAGCCUCUGGACUCUGAUUUCUGUCUUUAGGGAAUGCUGUGACACUCCUUUGCCCCAGCUCAUUUUACUGGAUCCACUUUGGACAUGUGGUGGUUUCAUUACUUGGUGCCAUGGUGCCUGCUGUCCUUGACCCCGCUAUCCUCACUCGGUGCCUGAAUGUCUGCUUUAAUGCUCUAAAGCUGUGUUGGUCACCAAGAGCUGGUCCAUCCCCUGAGCAGUGCCUGACUCCUGCAGGAGGCACCAGUCUCUGACUUUGGAUGCAUUCUCCCAUUAGACCCGCCAGCUCUGUGUCUGGCUCCUCCAAAUAGUUGGCAUUUGUAGCAUGGGAGGCAGCCUGUCCGAGCUCACUUCAACAGCUGGUGCCAGCCAGUUCCUCAAAGAUUGGUGCCAGCAGCAGGAAGAGCAUGCCAGGGCCUUGCUUAUCAAACAGACCAGCAUCCAUUCCAUGGCUGCCACCGAGGGACAAAGGGAAAAGCAGCAGAGGAAGUCCCUCUUGACAUGGCACCUUGUGGGAAAGGUAGGCAUGUGCCCUUUGGAAGAGGAUGCGAGCUGGAGGAUGAAGAGAUGACCUCAGUGAGCGGCCUUCCCUCCUUGCUCCCAUUUCCUAGCUGGUGGGUAGUGUGUGAUACCUGCCUUUGGGAAGCACUCGAGGCUUAUAAAUGGAAAAUAGAUCACAGAGGUGAAGCACCAGUGUUUACUUUGGGGUCUGCCUUCGGCUCCUUCCUCGCUUUCCAGAAGUGGUUCUUGUAGGGACACCUAAGGUGCUCCUGGUGCUCCCCAUCCCUUGCAAGGCAGGGCCCUGCUUCUCCCACAGGUUGCUAGGCUGCCUCCUAUUAAGAGAUGUGACCAGCAGCUCUCCCAUGUAAUUCUCUUCCUCCCACUGGAAAACUUGUUUGUGUCCUUUAAAUAAAUAUUUAAUAUAUCUCA
Long non-coding RNA from Pezoporus flaviventris, 2341 nucleotides. RefSeq lists it as uncharacterized. The transcript has 3 exons. NCBI's taxonomy places the organism in Eukaryota, Metazoa, Chordata, Aves, Psittaciformes, Psittacidae. The record is from RefSeq and is a predicted model, not a curated record.